RNAcentral lists this ribosomal RNA (441 nucleotides) under uncultured bacterium. RNAcentral describes it as "partial 16S ribosomal RNA". It matches the Rfam family "Bacterial small subunit ribosomal RNA", at positions 338 to 795 of the family's 1533-position model. The record is from RNAcentral.
CCUACGGGAGGCAGCAGUGGGGGAUAUUGCACAAUGGGGGGAACCCUGAUGCAGCGACGCCGCGUGUGUGAAGGAGUCUUUCGGUAUGUAAAGCCCUAUCGGCAGGGAAGAAUUUAGCCGGUACCUGAAUAAUAAGCCCCGGCUAAAUACGUGCCAGCAGCCGCGGUAAUACGUAGGGGGCAAGCCUUAUCCGGAUUCACUGGGUGUAAAGGGAGCGUAGACGGCCAGGCAAGCCCGGAGUGAAAGCCCCGGGCCCAACCCCGGGACUGAUCUUGGAACUGUUCGGCUGGAGUGCGGGAGGGGCAGGUGGAAGUCCUGGUGUAGCGGUGAAAUGCGUAGAUAUCAGGAGGAACACCGGCGGCGAAGGCGGCCCGCUGGACAGCGACUGACGUUGAGGUGCGAAAGCGUGGGGAGCGAACAGGAUUAGAUACCCGGGUAGUC